UGCAGUCGAACGAUGAUCCGGUGCUUGCACCGGGGAUUAGUGGCGAACGGGUGAGUAACACGUGAGUAACCUGCCCUUGACUCUGGGAUAAGCCUGGGAAACCGGGUCUAAUACCGGAUACGACCUUUCACCGCAUGGUGGUUGGUGGAAAGAUUUUUUGGUUUUGGAUGGACUCGCGGCCUAUCAGCUUGUUGGUGAGGUAAUGGCUCACCAAGGCGACGACGGGUAGCCGGCCUGAGAGGGUGACCGGCCACACUGGGACUGAGACACGGCCCAGACUCCUACGGGAGGCAGCAGUGGGGAAUAUUGCACAAUGGGCGAAAGCCUGAUGCAGCGACGCCGCGUGAGGGAUGACGGCCUUCGGGUUGUAAACCUCUUUCAGCAGGGAAGAAGCGAAAGUGACGGUACCUGCAGAAGAAGCGCCGGCUAACUACGUGCCAGCAGCCGCGGUAAUACGUAGGGCGCAAGCGUUGUCCGGAAUUAUUGGGCGUAAAGAGCUCGUAGGCGGUUUGUCGCGUCUGCUGUGAAAGCCCGGGGCUCAACCCCGGGUCUGCAGUGGGUACGGGCAGACUAGAGUGCAGUAGGGGAGACUGGAAUUCCUGGUGUAGCGGUGAAAUGCGCAGAUAUCAGGAGGAACACCGAUGGCGAAGGCAGGUCUCUGGGCUGUAACUGACGCUGAGGAGCGAAAGCAUGGGGAGCGAACAGGAUUAGAUACCCUGGUAGUCCAUGCCGUAAACGUUGGGCACUAGGUGUG
RNAcentral lists this ribosomal RNA (754 nucleotides) under Arthrobacter sp. sm460-5. RNAcentral describes it as "bacterial SSU rRNA". It matches the Rfam family "Bacterial small subunit ribosomal RNA", at positions 56 to 824 of the family's 1533-position model. Lineage: Bacteria; Bacillati; Actinomycetota; Actinomycetes; Micrococcales; Micrococcaceae. The record is from RNAcentral.